UACAGAGGUGGCAAGCGUUGUCCGGAAUUACUGGGCGUAAAGGGCGCGUAGGCGGCCAUCUAAGUCAGACGUGAAAUCCCCCGGCUUAACCUGGGAACUGCGUCUGAUACUGGAAGGCUUGAGUAUGGGAGAGGGAUGUAGAAUUCCAGGUGUAGCGGUGAAAUGCGUAGAUAUCUGGAGGAAUACCGGUGGCGAAGGCGGCAUCCUGGACCAUUACUGACGCUGAGGCGCGAAAGCGUGGGGAGCGAACAGG
Molecule: ribosomal RNA, 253 nt
Filed under: uncultured bacterium
Lineage: Bacteria
Description: partial 16S ribosomal RNA
Rfam family: Bacterial small subunit ribosomal RNA
Source: RNAcentral